This 1027-nucleotide long non-coding RNA is filed under the name Sinocyclocheilus grahami. RNAcentral describes it as "lncRNA (ENSSGRG00000030671.1)". Lineage: Eukaryota; Metazoa; Chordata; Actinopteri; Cypriniformes; Cyprinidae. The record is from RNAcentral.
GAGGAGAAUGAGCUCGUGGGGAUCUCAGGUGGACCUGGCCGAUGAGUUUAGAGAGGGACUUUCCUUCUCGCGCUCAUCGGCGGGGGGCGAGAGACAGCCACUGGAGGAUGAUGUUCUCUCUUUAACAUCAUCCGAUCCAGGGGCCAGUGCUCUGCUGGGUUCAGCCCAGGAAGAGCAGGAAAUGGAUGAUGAGAGUGAAGAAGCUGAGGCUGAGCCUUCUCAAUCCUCCUGCCCUGCGUAUGAUGAGCUCUUAGAGGUUAUGGAUCGCGCCACGGCAAGACUUGACUUGCCAUGGAAGCGGACUAAGGAAGUGGCGUCGCGAGGUCGUCUCGACGAACGUUAUCUUUCUGGCCAUAACCCUCCAGCUCAGGUGAGUCUUCCUUUCCUUCCUGACCUCCAUACUGAGAUCGAGAAGGAAUGGAAGAAGCCGUUUUCCUCACGCAUCCAUCGGUUUCAGCAUACCAGUUAUGCGAAUAUCGAGGCGGUGCGCGAAAACGGCUAUGAGAGAAUGCCCCCUGUAGAAGAGACGCUAGCUAGCUAUCUCUCUAUGGGAGAGACAUCAUCUCUCAAAACUCCCUCCUUGCCAUCCAUGCCUCUUCAAGCUACAUCUAAAAUGAAUGGCAAGGCAUACGCAGCAGCAGCAGGUCAGGCUGUUGCUUCACUGCACACGAUGGCGGUGCUCCAAGCAUACCAGGCUGAUCUGCUGAAAGACCUGGAUAAAGGCGAGGGCCUUUCUUCUGAUGAGAUGGCUGAGUUACGCCGCACCACGGAUCUUGCUCUUCGUGCUACUAAGCAGGCUGCCUCUGCCAUGGGCAGAUCUAUGGCAGCGAUGGUAGUAACGGAGAGGCAGCUGUGGGUAAACCUGGCAGACAUCGGGAAGAAAGAAAGGGGUUUUCUUCUCGAUGCCCCGGUUUCGCCCUCUGAACUUUUUGGUACAUCCGUUGAGACGGUCGUCGAAAAGUUCAGGGAGGCGAAGGCACGCUCAGCGGCCUUCAAAACCUUCAUUCCACGAAGGUCCAGGUCUGAG